Molecule: ribosomal RNA, 515 nt
Filed under: uncultured bacterium
Lineage: Bacteria
Description: partial 16S ribosomal RNA
Rfam family: Bacterial small subunit ribosomal RNA
Source: RNAcentral
GAUGAACGCUGGCGGCGUGCCUAAUACAUGCAAGUCGAGCGAAUGGAUUAAGAGCUUGCUCUUAUGAAGUUAGCGGCGGACGGGUGAGUAACACGUGGGUAACCUGCCCAUAAGACUGGGAUAACUCCGGGAAACCGGGGCUAAUACCGGAUAACAUUUUGAACCGCAUGGUUCGAAAUUGAAAGGCGGCUUCGGCUGUCACUUAUGGAUGGACCCGCGUCGCAUUAGCUAGUUGGUGAGGUAACGGCUCACCAAGGCAACGAUGCGUAGCCGACCUGAGAGGGUGAUCGGCCACACUGGGACUGAGACACGGCCCAGACUCCUACGGGAGGCAGCAGUAGGGAAUCUUCCGCAAUGGACGAAAGUCUGACGGAGCAACGCCGCGUGAGUGAUGAAGGCUUUCGGGUCGUAAAACUCUGUUGUUAGGGAAGAACAAGCGCUAGUUGAAUAAGCUGGCACCUUGACGGUACCUAACCAGAAAGCCACGGCUAACUACGUGCCAGCAGCCGCGGUAA